GAGGGUAUAGGUCAGUGGUAGAGCACAUGCUUAACAUGCACAAGGUCCUGGGUUCAAUCCAGUACCUCCA
This 70-nucleotide transfer RNA is filed under the name Camelus bactrianus (Bactrian camel). It matches the Rfam family "tRNA". Rfam says of the family: Transfer RNA (tRNA) molecules are approximately 80 nucleotides in length. Their secondary structure includes four short double-helical elements and three loops (D, anti-codon, and T loops). Lineage: Eukaryota; Metazoa; Chordata; Mammalia; Artiodactyla; Camelidae. RNAcentral also lists the same sequence under 2 other names. The record is from Rfam by way of RNAcentral.